AGAGUUUGAUCCUGGCUCAGAUUGAACGCUGGCGGCAUGCCUUACACAUGCAAGUCGAACGGCAGCACGGGUGCUUGCACCUGGUGGCGAGUGGCGAACGGGUGAGUAAUAUAUCGGAACGUACCUUAUUGUGGGGGAUAACGCAGCGAAAGCUGUGCUAAUACCGCAUAAUCCCUAAGGGGGAAAGCGGGGGACCGUAAGGCCUCGCGCAAUUAGAGCGGCCGAUACCUGAUUAGCUAGUUGGUGAGGUAAAGGCUCACCAAGGCAACGAUCAGUAGCUGGUCUGAGAGGACGAUCAGCCACACUGGGACUGAGACACGGCCCAGACUCCUACGGGAGGCAGCAGUGGGGAAUUUUGGACAAUGGGGGCAACCCUGAUCCAGCAAUGCCGCGUGAGUGAAGAAGGCCUUCGGGUUGUAAAGCUCUUUUGUCAGGGAAGAAACAGCAGCUCUAACACAGUUUGCGAAUGACGGUACCUGAAGAAUAAGCACCGGCUAACUACGUGCCAGCAGCCGCGGUAAUACGUAGGGUGCAAGCGUUAAUCGGAAUUACUGGGCGUAAAGCGUGCGCAGGCGGUUAUGUAAGACAGGCGUGAAAUCCCCGGGCUUAACCUGGGAAUUGCGCUUGUGACUGCAUAGCUAGAGUAUGUCAGAGGGGGGUAGAAUUCCACGUGUAGCAGUGAAAUGCGUA
This 690-nucleotide ribosomal RNA is filed under the name uncultured bacterium. RNAcentral describes it as "bacterial SSU rRNA". It matches the Rfam family "Bacterial small subunit ribosomal RNA", at positions 8 to 692 of the family's 1533-position model. The record is from RNAcentral.